This 777-nucleotide ribosomal RNA is filed under the name Triticum aestivum (bread wheat). RNAcentral's name for it is "partial small subunit ribosomal RNA". The record is from RNAcentral. Lineage: Eukaryota; Viridiplantae; Streptophyta; Magnoliopsida; Poales; Poaceae.
AUGAAGUUGACGGACAAGGAAAACAAGAAGCUGGUAGUAGAUGAUCAGGAGGUGGAAGGAGAGGCACCUCCAGUGGCGCUGGUGGGUAGGGUUCUGCACUGUAAGUUCAUCCAUGUAAACUCUAUCGCAGAUGCCCUCCGACCGGCCUGGGGAAACCCGAGGGGAUUGAGUUUUAACCCGGUAGGGGAGAACACCUUUGUGGCAAACCUGGAGAAUCAGCGAGAUCGUGAUCGCAUCUAUGGAGGUGGGCCGUGGAUGGUGGGGAAACACGCAGUGAUCUUGGAACUGUUUGAUUUUAGGGCCCGGCCAUCCGACUGGAAGUUUGAGAAGUUGCAGAUUUGGGCGAGGGUAAUCAACCUGCCCUUUAAUCUCCGAUACCCGCCAUGGCCUGAGAGAAUUGCAGGGAUGUUGGGAGAGGUAAUCAAGCUGGAUGUGGACUCAAAGGGUUUUGCUUUUGGCGAGUCCCUUAGAACACGUAUAUGGAUAAGAGUGCAGGAACCCCUAAUGAGGUGGGUGCAGCUAGAAUCGGCGAGGACGAAGGAAUCUGUGUUGUAUGAUAUUCAGUAUGAAGGACUGCCGUAUUUUUGUUUCUCGUGUGGCCGGCUUGGACAUGCAGACGCCUUUUGCCCGGACCCAGGGGAACGGGAUGAUGAUGGAUGCCUGUCGUACGGAGAGAAGCUUAGAUGGGCUGGAUCUCGCAAGAACUGGGCGAAUGCACCCCCAAGGAGCAGUGAUGGGGGAAGGCAGGGAGCCAGGGGAGGAGGAAUGGGAUGUUGA